GCCUUCGUGGUGUAGUGGUCAGCACGCUGGGCGCGUAUUCCAGAGGUCCGUGGUUCAAGUCCCGGCGAAGGCG
This 73-nucleotide transfer RNA is filed under the name Stegodyphus mimosarum. It matches the Rfam family "tRNA". Rfam says of the family: Transfer RNA (tRNA) molecules are approximately 80 nucleotides in length. The record is from Rfam by way of RNAcentral. Lineage: Eukaryota; Metazoa; Arthropoda; Arachnida; Araneae; Eresidae.